Manis javanica (Malayan pangolin) is the source of this 2025-nucleotide long non-coding RNA. RefSeq lists it as uncharacterized. Lineage: Eukaryota; Metazoa; Chordata; Mammalia; Pholidota; Manidae. The record is from RefSeq and is a predicted model, not a curated record.
CCCUCUGGGCGGAGAAAGCAAACAAACAGAACACUCAGCAUACAGCAGGUGCUGAGAAAAUGCUCACCUCCCCUUAUCUGGGGAAAUUUGCUGCGUCCUGAACUCCCGACCCUGCCGGAACAAUCGCUUGCUGUCUGCUGUGACCACUGCUUCUCUGCUCAUGCUUGUUCCUCCUGCUGUGACAAUGGCCUUCUAUUAAAAGUUUUUCAAGUAUUUGAGACAUAAGCUGGAUGGACCACUUGCGCAUUCAGGACACAGGAACGGAAAACAAAGGACGGCAGGUGCUAAUAUAGAGGACUGGGGAAAAAAGAAUCAUGUAGAGCCUCUCUGCUGAAUUCCAGACCCAAAUAUCCAACAACCUGACUUGUAUGUCCAAGACAUCCCAAACAGAGCAUGUCCACGCUGAGCUCCUGAUUCCCUCCUCCUCAAGCCUAUUCUUCCCUGCAUUUAACCCUUCUGGAACACUAGCAAGGGGGACACAGGGGUGAAAGCCCUUCUCCCUUUCAGUGCAUGUCAACGCCAUCCUGCAGGAUACCCAAGCCAAAAAUACUGGGACCAUUUAUUCCUUCUUUGCACACCCCACGUAAGCAACCUAUGAGCUAACAAUGUCUUUGUGCCUUCGAAAUGCAUACAGAGUCUUGGCCACAUCUCACCACCAGCAUGCUAAUCCCACCCCCACCACCUAGGCCGUCACAGCAGCCCCCUAAACCUCCCUCGCCCCACCCUGUGCUCUCUUCCCAACGUAACAGAGACCUGGUCACAUGGAAGGCAGAUUCUGUCACUGCUCCAUCUCCUGAAGCUUCUGUUCUGUCCAAGUAAGAGAUGAGGGCCUCACCAUGCUUGGGGGGCCCAACACCCCUCUGCUCCUGGCUCCUGCCACAGCACCCACCGACACCCUGUGCUCCUCAGCCGUGCCAGCCUGUCCCCUUGAAGCCAUCUCCCAGGUUUCCAGUGGCUCACUUCUUUUCCUGAUGUCACCUACUCAUGAGGUCCCUCUGAGCCAUCCUAUUUAGGAUCACACUGCCCUGUACACACUCCUCACUCCCCUUUCCUGCUUUACUACCCUCAAGACACCAGUCACACUGAAUCUUCUCUAAGUUGACUCGCUACUUCGCUGACUACCUGACCUCCCCACUCGAAUAGAAACUCCUGGGGGCCAGGGGUCUUUGGCUGACUCUCUCACUUCUGUGUGUUCAGGCUCAGGACAGAGCCUGGCCACACAGAAGAGGUUCGAAUCUUUUCUGAAUGAAGCAUGGCUGAGGAAAGCCAGCAGUGGGGAACUAGGACACAAGGCCAGACCAGGCCAGCGGCCACACGCACACUGAGGCCUGGGCUCCGAGAGUGGCAGGAUCAAAGACUUUUCAGGGGUAGAAUGUACAGGGUUUGGUAACAAGGUGAGGGCCACGGGAGGCGGCUGUAAACCUGAACUACAGCUGAUGAUCUUCAUGCAUAUGGAAAAGGCCAGAGGAAUGAGGGAUCGGGGAAGGGGGAGGAAUGGUAGACAGGAGGAGCUCAAUUUUUGUUAAUUAAAUGAAGUACAUUAAUCUAUGCAUUAAUAUGCCUCUCUCAGAUAUAGUCCAAAGCCUAAUAAACUCCUCUAGGAUAGUUUUUAAAGGUUUAACUUAUUCCUAAAUUCAAUAAGCACAAAGAUUUGUCACAAAGGCUCAGAUUCACUAGGUACAUAGGUUACACCCUGUUCUCCAGAACAGAAGAAAAAUUACAAACGCCAGGAAUAUGUGGGAAACGAAGAUCUGCAGAAGACCCGAGUGUCCCGAGUGCUUGAGACUAUGGAGAGCAUAAAAGAGAGAAGUGGCUGUGUUCUCCAGACUUAUAUUUAAUAGGUUCUAAAUCCAGCACAGAUUUGACCUUUGCUUUAAAUAGAUUUUCUUGGAGAGAAGGGAAGAAAACAUUGAUUCAUCCAAGACUCCUGAACGACCUACUGUUCACGUUGCUUGAAAUAAAGUCUGCUUUAAAUCAGAAUUCUUGAGACACAGAAAUAAAUAUACCGAGAGGUUUCUAAUUCUA